Molecule: ribosomal RNA, 510 nt
Filed under: Orbilia tonghaiensis
Lineage: Eukaryota; Fungi; Ascomycota; Orbiliomycetes; Orbiliales; Orbiliaceae
Description: SSU rRNA
Rfam family: Eukaryotic small subunit ribosomal RNA
Source: RNAcentral
AAAGAUUAAGCCAUGCAUGUCUAAGUAUAAGCAACUAUACAGUGAAACUGCGAAUGGCUCAUUAAAUCAGUUAUCGUUUAUUUGAUAGUACCUUACUACUUGGAUAACCGUGGUAAUUCUAGAGCUAAUACAUGCUAAAAAUCCCGACCUCCGGAAGGGAUGUAUUUAUUAGAUAAAAAACCAAUGCCUUCGGGCUCACUGGUGAUUCAUGAUAACUUAACGAAUCGCAUGGCCUUGCGCCGGCGAUGGUUCAUUCAAAUUUCUGCCCUAUCAACUUUCGAUGGUAGGAUAGUGGCCUACCAUGGUUUCAACGGGUAACGGGGAAUUAGGGUUCUAUUCCGGAGAGGGAGCCUGAGAAACGGCUACCACAUCCAAGGAAGGCAGCAGGCGCGCAAAUUACCCAAUCCCAAUUCGGGGAGGUAGUGACAAUAAAUACUGAUACAGGGCUCUUUCGGGUCUUGUAAUUGGAAUGAGUACAAUUUAAAUCCCUUAACGAGGAACAAUUGGAGG